Molecule: ribosomal RNA, 461 nt
Filed under: uncultured bacterium
Lineage: Bacteria
Description: partial 16S ribosomal RNA
Rfam family: Bacterial small subunit ribosomal RNA
Source: RNAcentral
CUACGGGUUGCUGCAGUCGAGAAUCUUCCGCAAUGGACGAAAGUCUGACGGAGCGACGCCGCGUGCGGGAUGAAGGCCUUCGGGUUGUAAACCGCUGUCAGUGGGGAGGAAAUGCAUCAGGGUUCUCCCUGGUGUUUGACCGAUCCGCAGAGGAAGCGCAGGCUAAGUUCGUGCCAGCAGCCGCGGUAACACGAACUGCGCGAACGUUAUUCGGAAUCACUGGGCUUAAAGAGUUCGUAGGCGGCCUUUCAAGUCGGGUGUGAAAUCCCUCGGCUCAACCGAGGAAUUGCGCCUGAUACUGGUGGGCUUGAGGGGGAUAGGGGUGAGCGGAACUGAUGGUGGAGCGGUGAAAUGCGUUGAUAUCAUCAGGAACACCGGUGGCGAAGGCGGCUCACUGGAUCUCUUCUGACGCUGAGGAACGAAAGCUAGGGGAGCGAACGGGAUUAGAUACCCCGGUAGUC